GUGACUGCGUACCUUUUGUAUAAUGGGUCAGCGACUUAUAUUCUGUAGCAAGGUUAACCGAAUAGGGGAGCCGAAGGGAAACCGAGUCUUAACUGGGCGUUAAGUUGCAGGGUAUAGACCCGAAACCCGGUGAUCUAGCCAUGGGCAGGUUGAAGGUUGGGUAACACUAACUGGAGGACCGAACCGACUAAUGUUGAAAAAUUAGCGGAUGACUUGUGGCUGGGGGGGAAAGGCCAAUCAAACCGGGAGAUAGCUGGUUCUCCCCGAAAGCUAUUUAGGUAGCGCCUCGUGAAUUCAUCUCCGGGGGUAGAGCACUGUUUCGGCAAGGGGGUCAUCCCGACUUACCAACCCGAUGCAAACUACGAAUACCGGAGAAUGUUAUCACGGGAGACACACGGCGGGUGCUAACGUCCGUCGUGAAGAGGGAAACAACCCAGACCGCCAGCUAAGGUCCCAAAGUCAUGGUUAAGUGGGAAACGAUGUGGGAAGGCCCAGACAGCCAGGAUGUUGGCUUAGAAGCAGCCAUCAUUUAAAGAAAGCGUAAUAGCUCACUGGUCGAGUCGGCCUGCGCGGAAGAUGUAACGGGGCUAAACCAUGCACCGAAGCUGCGGCAGCGACGCUUAUGCGUUGUUGGGUAGGGGAGCGUUCUGUAAGCCUGCGAAG
Molecule: ribosomal RNA, 663 nt
Filed under: Escherichia coli
Lineage: Bacteria; Pseudomonadati; Pseudomonadota; Gammaproteobacteria; Enterobacterales; Enterobacteriaceae
Description: bacterial LSU rRNA
Rfam family: Bacterial large subunit ribosomal RNA
Source: RNAcentral